Molecule: unclassified non-coding RNA, 221 nt
Filed under: fungal sp.
Lineage: Eukaryota; Fungi
Description: partial internal transcribed spacer region
Rfam family: Eukaryotic small subunit ribosomal RNA (bases 1-46)
Source: RNAcentral
AAGUCGUAACAAGGUUUUCGUAGGUGAACCUGCGGAAGGAUCAUUAGUGAAGUUUUAGAGCGCUCGAAAGAGGCUCGACUACACUUUUCUUACACUGUGAACUUGAUUUUUCAACUUGUCUGGCAACGGACUUGUUCGAAACCCUAGUCUUAAUAGAAGUCUUGAAUGUAACCUUUGAUAAACGAAAGUAACAACUUUCAGCAACGGAUUUCUUGGCUCUC